AUGCAGCUAGAGGUGUGUGGAGAGGAACAUGGAGCCAAAAAAGAAAUACGGACAUUCACAGCCAAGAUCCAACUCAGAAGACUAGAAAAUGAACAACCCAGCAAACUUAGGAGAUGGGGAAGGAAGGGAAUUCAGAAGGUGAUAGCUGCAAGCAUCGGCAGACCAGUCCUAGCAAAAUGGAGUUUAAAAGGGGGACUUCUACGUUCUGUCCUCCUGCAGCCAUCUAAAGUCAGCCAGAAAGGUUUAGGAUCCCAUUUCCUGUUCUUGCAUCGGCUGUCCAAGCUGCUGUUCCUCUCUCUGCAGUAAGAGGGUGUUUUUCUCCCUAUUCAAGAGGAGCACCAACACUUGAGUUAUGAGUUUGAGAUUCAUCUACGCAGCGAAGCACAGUCGUUGUUGUGUAGGGUUCCAUGGCAUUAAUACAGAGCACGCUUUUUUCCCAUUUGUCACUUGGGGUACACUAGGUCGUUCCUAGUUUAGAGUGGAUCAUAACACCACUGCCUUCAGGAUGCACUGCAGUUCCACUCCCUGGUAUGUGUCUGAGAAACCUAGGGUGCAUUCCUUGGAGUGGGAUCCCAAUCUCAACUGGGGAUGGUCCCAGUUACCUACCCUACCACUACCUGCAGUGGAAGUACAGCAUGAAUUCUUAAGUGAUUUCUGCAAUAGCAAAUGAAUCCUUCUCUUUUUCCUUUCACCUUCGAUGUCAAGGAUCUUCCUAAGGUGCAGAUCUGAUGAUGCCACCCUUCUGCAUUGCAUCUUUUUAAUGACUGCCCUGCACCCUUGGACGAUAUUUAUAUUUUCUAGCAAUGGCAUUUAGGACUGAUUGUGAUCAGAGAUCUGUCCUCCAAUCCAGACUCCCACCUUGCCAUUUGCUUACCUUGGCAGUAUACAGCACCCUUACAGAAGUGCUCCCAGCUACUGCAACAUGAAAGCAUGACUUCAAGAGCUGACCCUUUUACACACUAUUCUUCAUUUGUAUCAAAUCCUUAGGGAAGACAUUCCCUUAUCUCCAGCCUGAGUGCAGUGCAAGUCCCCAGGAUUCUGAAAUCUCUCCAGGCAUUCAUUUAUUAUAGCAGCUAUCAAGUUGUAUUGAAAGUAUCUGUUUACAUUGAAUUCAUUCAUAUCCUGCCUUCUUAUACAAAAGGGUUGGAUAGAUGAAAUACAAUAGAGAUGGAACUAUAUAAGCAGAUAAGUGUAGCUAGACUACAGUUUAAAGAGGGGAACAUUGGAAAUUAGACAGACAAGCUAUGGGAUUUCAUGUGGUCAUUAAAAUUGGGUCCCAGAAAGACACUAAGGACAGGGACCACAAAGCAGGUGUGCACCUUCACCAGAUGGUGGGAAUGGGGGCUGUGUAUUCCAUCUCUAAAUUCCCAGUGCCUGACACCUCCUCAGAGCAUUAGGAUCACGUGGGUGUUGAAGUGGAUGCCCAGGUAACAGGCACCUUUAGAAUUGCCAUGACCUCAUUCGUGUGCUGCAGAAUGAUGCUGGUGUACAUGGCUAGACGAUUGAAGUAUUUGGAAGAACGAGUGCCAUUUACAAGCUGCAAUUGCUAACUAAACUGUCUAUAGGGACAAUCCAUCAUCAGCUGUCACAAAGACUGAGCAGGCUUAGGAGGUGGGAGCAAUUAACAGGGC
Long non-coding RNA from Pan paniscus (pygmy chimpanzee), 1631 nucleotides. The record is from Ensembl. NCBI's taxonomy places the organism in Eukaryota, Metazoa, Chordata, Mammalia, Primates, Hominidae.